UACGUAGGAUGCUAGCGUUGUCCGGAUUUACUGGGCGUAAAGCGCGCGCAGGCGGCACUGUAAGUAAGGUGUGAAAUCUCCCUGCUCAACGGGGAGGGUGCACUUUAGACUGCAGAGCUAGAGGACGGUAGAGGGGGGUGGAAUUCCUGGUGUAGCGGUGAAAUGCGCAGAUAUCAGGAGGAACACCGGUGGCGAAGGCGGGUCUCUGGGCCGAUACUGACGCUGAGGAGCGAAAGCGUGGGGAGCGAACAGG
This 253-nucleotide ribosomal RNA is filed under the name uncultured bacterium. RNAcentral's name for it is "partial 16S ribosomal RNA". It matches the Rfam family "Bacterial small subunit ribosomal RNA", at positions 524 to 776 of the family's 1533-position model. The record is from RNAcentral.